Molecule: small RNA, 65 nt
Filed under: Caenorhabditis japonica
Lineage: Eukaryota; Metazoa; Nematoda; Chromadorea; Rhabditida; Rhabditidae
Description: sRNA CJA49009
Source: RNAcentral
CGGCAAUGAAGAUUACAAAUCCGUGUUUCAGACAAGCGAUUGAUGAUUGAAAACCGGCUGAGCCA